UCAGCUGACCUGGGCCUGCAGUG
Molecule: microRNA, 23 nt
Filed under: Gallus gallus (chicken)
Lineage: Eukaryota; Metazoa; Chordata; Aves; Galliformes; Phasianidae
Description: gga-miR-1691
Source: miRBase by way of RNAcentral